CGCUAUCACUCCUACGGGAGGCAGCAGUGGGGAAUAUUGCACAAUGGGGGAAACCCUGAUGCAGCCAUGCCGCGUGUGUGAAGAAGGCCUUCGGGUUGUAAAGCACUUUCAGUAGGGAGGAAGGUAGUGUAGUUAACACCUGCAUUAUUUGACGUUACCUACAGAAGAAGCACCGGCUAACUCCGUGCCAGCAGCCGCGGUAAUACGGAGGGUGCGAGCGUUAAUCGGAAUUACUGGGCGUAAAGCGCAUGCAGGCGGCCUGUUAAGUCAGAUGUGAAAGCCCGGGGCUUAACCUCGGAAUUGCAUUUGAAACUGGCAGGCUAGAGUCUUGUAGAGGGGGUAGAAUUUCAGGUGUAGCGGUGAAAAUGCGUAGAGAUCUGAAGGAAUACCAGUGGCGAAGGCGGCCCCCUGGACAAAGACUGACGCUCAGAUGCGGAAGCGUGGGGAGCAAACAGGAUUAGAUACCCUGGUAG
Molecule: ribosomal RNA, 473 nt
Filed under: uncultured bacterium
Lineage: Bacteria
Description: bacterial SSU rRNA
Rfam family: Bacterial small subunit ribosomal RNA
Source: RNAcentral